RNAcentral lists this ribosomal RNA (402 nucleotides) under Verrucomicrobiota bacterium. RNAcentral describes it as "Verrucomicrobia bacterium partial 16S ribosomal RNA". It matches the Rfam family "Bacterial small subunit ribosomal RNA", at positions 355 to 776 of the family's 1533-position model. Lineage: Bacteria; Pseudomonadati; Verrucomicrobiota. The record is from RNAcentral.
UGGGGAAUUUUGCACAAUGGGGGAAACCCUGAUGCAGCGACGCCGCGUGAUUUAGAAGGCCUUCGGGUUGUAAAAAUCUUUUGUAUGGGAAGAAAAUGACAGUACCAUCCGAAUAAGGACCGACUACUUACGUGCCAGCAGCCGCGGUAAUACGUAAGGUCCGAGCGUUGUCCGGAAUCAUUGGGCGUAAAGGGUACGUAGGCGGAUAAGCAAGUUAGAAGUGAAAUCCUAUAGCUCAACUAUAGUAAGCUUUUAAAACUGCUCAUCUUGAGGUAUGGAAGGGAAAGUGGAAUUCCUAGUGUAGCGGUGAAAUGCGCAGAUAUUAGGAGGAAUACCGGUGGCGAAGGCGACUUUCUGGCCAUAUACUGACGCUGAGGUACGAAAGCGUGGGUAGCAAACAGG